AACGAAUAAAUCUCGUUUUCUUCGUUUUGUGAAAUUUCUUCCUAAAAACCCUAAAAACAAAAUCCAUCUCUUCUCCCCUCCACCAUUUGCGAAAGACAGAGCUUCUUCAUCUCUCUCCCAUCAAUGGUGAUUCGCUGCCCCUCCUAACAGCACCUGAUCCACUCCAACUCCACAUCUACCAUCAGCCACAUAAAAAGUUGAGUCAUGUGAUUGGAACCCAAAUAUUGAUGUGGGAUUUAUAUUUCCAUCCUUUCUUCUCCGACACUGAAUUGACAAUUUUGGCAGUGAAGGGAGCGGCGAUGGUGGCUCUGUACCAUUACCAUAUUGGGGACUAAGGCGGUAGGGAGAGCUUUACUCUGGAGUUUAUUCUUUUUCUGCUUGAUCUAUUAUCCAGCAAACAAAAUUAAAAAAAGAAAAUAUUGUUCUUUUUGGUUUAGAAUUGAUGAAGGAAAAAAAAUUGUAAUUCUGUGAAUAUUUUUAAUUGUUCUGUUAUUCGUUAAUUGAAUUUUUUUUAUUGUUGAGUUUUUAUAAUGAUAAAGUUUGACUUUUUAUUUA
Molecule: long non-coding RNA, 555 nt
Organism: Humulus lupulus (European hop)
Lineage: Eukaryota; Viridiplantae; Streptophyta; Magnoliopsida; Rosales; Cannabaceae
Exons: 2
Source: RefSeq, a predicted model, not a curated record